This 497-nucleotide ribosomal RNA is filed under the name uncultured bacterium. Its description in RNAcentral is "partial 16S ribosomal RNA". It matches the Rfam family "Bacterial small subunit ribosomal RNA", at positions 28 to 507 of the family's 1533-position model. The record is from RNAcentral.
GAUGAACGCUGGCGGCGUGCCUAACACAUGCAAGUCGAGCGAACGGACGAGAAGAUUUUUUUCCUGAUGUUAGCGACGGACGGGUGGGUAACACGUAGAUAACCUACUUAUUAGACUGGGAUAACUACGGGAAAACGGUGCUAAUACCGGAUAAUAUUUUCUACCGCAUGGUUCAAAAGUGAUAGACGCUCUUGCCGUUACUUAUAGAUGUAUCCGCGUUGCAUUAGCUAGUUGGUAAGGUAACGGCUUACCAAGGCGACGAUGCAUAGCCGACCUGAGAGGAUGAUCAGCCACACUGGAACUGAGACACGGUCCAGACUCCUACGGGAGGCAGCAGUGGGGAAUCUUCCGCAAUGGGCGAAAGCCUGACGGAGCAACGCCGCGUGAGUGAUGAAGGUCUUCGGGUCGUAAAACUCUGUUAUUAGGGAAGAACAGAAGUGUAAGUAUCUGUGCACAUCUUGACGGUACCUAAUGAAUAAGCCACGGCUAACUACGUG